Long non-coding RNA from Tachysurus vachellii, 934 nucleotides. RefSeq lists it as uncharacterized. The record is from RefSeq and is a predicted model, not a curated record. The transcript is spliced from 4 exons. NCBI's taxonomy places the organism in Eukaryota, Metazoa, Chordata, Actinopteri, Siluriformes, Bagridae.
CCUCACUGAGCCUGGACCACACAGAUGGUAUGGCUGGAAAAACAGCCUUAAAUUUAAGAUGGCCAAUUAUCGCACAAAGCUUCGAAAAGCUAGAUGUGAGGAUGUAGCAAUCAAUGGUGGCAAAAGAAGUAAAGGCAACCCAGAGGGAGAAUCCUCAAGCAAGAAUCUCAAACGGCCAAAAAGAGGUGAAGCAAACUACCUGCCUAACUUACCUGAAGGACAUGAUGAAACAAGCCUUGAAAAUGCCAGAAUGGUUCUAGUGGAAGAAAUGAAGAAAAAACAACCAAAUGGCACUCUCAUUUCACAAAUGAUGGACCAAUCAUUCCCAUUACGCAGACAAGAAAUUGUAAAAAAAGGAGCCUGCUGUACAGACCAUGGUUGAACGAUGGCCAGCACUCUUUACAGAGAGACAGGUGUUUGCUGAGUUUAAUAGAAUCGCCAGUAAGAAUCUUGAGGGAGACUUCUUUGAGGCUCUGGACCAGUACGCCCCACGUUUCAUAGAACUUUUCAAAACAAAAAAGGGAACUGUUGGCCAGAAACUCAGGGAGCUGAUGCAGCACAUGUAGACACCAGACGUGGCAGUACUUCGCUCUGUUGUCCUCAAAGGCAUUCCCAUUUUACUCGGUGACGACUCCAGUGAAUUCUACAAGACCUGCUCUGAUACAGCAAGAGACGAGGCCCUAGAAUGCAUCACUGUUGGUGUGCUGACAGUUGUCAGUGAAGAUAGUCCCCACGAGGGUCAAAGCUCAGUGGACCUCCAGCCGAUCUCCACUGCCAUCAUUCUGGAGGGAGGUAUUGUCAUGGAUCAUAUUAAAAACUUGCCUCAGGCAGUUUGUCUGUUGUUUGGGCUUACAUAUGCAUUGCAUUUGGAUUACCCAAAAUGCAUGGCAAAUACACUCAACUUCAUUCAGACUGUGAUGCUUGGACUAGGAAA